AAUCUUAGGUCAAAUUUUAAUUAAAGUCCUAAUUAAAAUCCUAAUAAAUCUUAAUCAAAUCCUAAUAAAUUCCUAAUAAAAUCCUAAAUCCAAAAUAAAUCCUAAAUAAAUUGUAAUCAAAUCCUAUUCAAAUCUAAAUUAAAUUCUAAUCAAAUCUCCAUCAAAUCUAAAAAAAUCUUAAAGCCUAAUCAAAUAUUAAAUCAACCUUAAUAAAAUCCUAAUCAAAUUUUAAUGAAAUCCAAAUAAAAUCCUAAAUCCUAACUAAACUCUAUACAAAUCCUAAAUCUUUAUCAAACCUUAAU
Molecule: long non-coding RNA, 302 nt
Filed under: Physcomitrium patens
Lineage: Eukaryota; Viridiplantae; Streptophyta; Bryopsida; Funariales; Funariaceae
Description: long non-coding RNA (PPAT_LNC007520)
Source: RNAcentral